GACAGAGGGGGCAAGCGUUGUCCGGAGUUACUGGGCGUAAAGGGCGUGUAGGCGGUUUGUUAAGUCUGGCGUGAAAGCUCUCGGCUAAACCGGGAGAGGUCGUUGGAUACUGGCGAACUAGAGGAUGGUAGAGGCGUGUGGAAUUCCGGGUGUAGUGGUGAAAUGCGUAGAGAUCCGGAGGAACACCAGUGGCGAAGGCGACACGCUGGGCCAUACCUGACGCUAAAGCGCGACAGCAUGGGGAGCAAACGGG
This 253-nucleotide ribosomal RNA is filed under the name uncultured bacterium. Its description in RNAcentral is "partial 16S ribosomal RNA". It matches the Rfam family "Bacterial small subunit ribosomal RNA", at positions 524 to 776 of the family's 1533-position model. The record is from RNAcentral.